Molecule: unclassified non-coding RNA, 278 nt
Filed under: Hevea brasiliensis (rubber tree)
Lineage: Eukaryota; Viridiplantae; Streptophyta; Magnoliopsida; Malpighiales; Euphorbiaceae
Source: RNAcentral
CCCAAGUUGCUCGCUUAAGUCAAUUUCUCCCUUUCAAAAAAUCAAACCGGACGUAAAUUUUUAGUCCCUCAGUGGGUUUCUCAUUUUUCCUCCCUCAAUCGAUCGUCAGAAACUUUUUCAACAUGGGUACAAGAUCCAAACCCAUUACUACUGCUCUUUUCCUUUGCUUCCUUCUGUUGCCUUUGGUUUUUGCUGCACAUAAUGAUGGAUUGGUCAGAAUUGGACUGAAAAAGAGGAAGUUCGAUCAAAACAACCUUGUGGCUGCGCAGUUUGAGUCC